AUUGAACGCUGGCGGCAUGCUUUACACAUGCAAGUCGAACGGUAGACCCUUUCGGGGGUUGAGAGUGGCGAACGGGUGAGUAAUGCAUCGGAACGUACCCAGUCGUGGGGGGAUAACGUAGCGAAAGUUACGCUAAUACCGCAUAUUCUGUGAGCAGGAAAGCAGGGGAUCGCAAGACCUUGCGCUGAUUGAGCGGCCGAUAUCAGAUUAGCUAGUUGGUGAGGUAAAGGCUCACCAAGGCGACGAUCUGUAGCGGGUCUGAGAGGAUGAUCCGCCACACUGGAACUGAGACACGGUCCAGACUCCUACGGGAGGCAG
This 318-nucleotide ribosomal RNA is filed under the name uncultured Pseudomonadota bacterium. Its description in RNAcentral is "bacterial SSU rRNA". It matches the Rfam family "Bacterial small subunit ribosomal RNA", at positions 30 to 351 of the family's 1533-position model. Lineage: Bacteria; Pseudomonadati; Pseudomonadota. The record is from RNAcentral.